AUUGAACGCUGGCGGCAUGCUUUACACAUGCAAGUCGAACGGUAACAGGCCGCAAGGUGCUGACGAGUGGCGAACGGGUGAGUAAUGCAUCGGAACGUGCCCAGUCGUGGGGGAUAACUACUCGAAAGAGUAGCUAAUACCGCAUACGAUCUAUGGAUGAAAGCGGGGGACCGUAAGGCCUCGCGCGAUUGGAGCGGCCGAUGUCAGAUUAGGUAGUUGGUGGGGUAAAGGCUCACCAAGCCAACGAUCUGCAGCUGGUCUGAGAGGACAACCAGCCACACUGGGACUGAGACACGGCCCAGACUCCUACGGGAGGCAGCAGUGGGGAAUUUUGGACAAAGGGCGCAAGCCUGAUCCAGCAAUGCCGCGUGCAGGAAGAAGGCCUUCGGGUUGUAAACUGCUUUUGUACGGAACGAAACGGCUCUGGUUAAUACCCGGGGCUAAUGACGGUACCGUAAGAAUAAGCACCGGCUAACUACGUG
RNAcentral lists this ribosomal RNA (482 nucleotides) under uncultured bacterium. RNAcentral's name for it is "partial 16S ribosomal RNA". It matches the Rfam family "Bacterial small subunit ribosomal RNA", at positions 30 to 507 of the family's 1533-position model. The record is from RNAcentral.